AUUCUAACCAGGCUGGCAGCUGAUUAGAUGGUGCCCACUCAGAUUAAAGGUAUUGGGAGAAGGAGAGGCUGUCAACCCACGCCACUAUGCUAUCUCUAACUCUGCCAUCCAGACCGAGCAAACGUACUUAAGACCUUUGUGUAAGAUCAGAAAAUCAUAAGACAGCAUUAAAAGUACUAUACAGGAGGAGAUGGAACAAGAUGGCCAAAUAGAAGCCUCCAGCAAUCAUCUCCCCCAAAGGAAUUGAACAACUAUCAAAACAAAAUUGAACAACUAUCUAAACAAAAAAAGUACCUUCAUAAAAAGCAAAAAUCAGGACACAGUGUUCUGCCUCUCCUGAGUAAGCAGCAACAAGGCACCAUCUUGGAAUCAGAGGGCAGCCCUCACCAGACAACUAAAUCUGCAGACACCUUGGACUUCCCAGCCUCCAGAACUGUCUUUCUGGCAACUGUCUAAACAUAAACCAGAGAAGGGCAAGGCAGACUCAGGAAGGACAAAUAGAAGGCUAUUUUCAUAAAUCGGGCAUACAAUGGUGGACAAAACAGCUGCCUUUCUUCCCCGUAUGGAGCUUACAGUAUAGUGAAUAUUUCAUGGGACUAGUAUCUACAGAAGGUGUUUUGGGAAGCACAGCUUUGGAGAGAGUAAUUUGCCAACAUUGCACAGAAUAAAGGCACCAUGAGGGCCCAAGGAAGGAAAAGAUUUGCAGCUGUCUUG
Molecule: small RNA, 714 nt
Filed under: Pan troglodytes (chimpanzee)
Lineage: Eukaryota; Metazoa; Chordata; Mammalia; Primates; Hominidae
Description: processed transcript
Source: RNAcentral